Molecule: transfer RNA, 77 nt
Filed under: Mycoplasmataceae bacterium
Lineage: Bacteria; Bacillati; Mycoplasmatota; Mollicutes; Mycoplasmatales; Mycoplasmataceae
Description: tRNA-Arg
Rfam family: tRNA
About the family: Transfer RNA (tRNA) molecules are approximately 80 nucleotides in length.
Source: RNAcentral
GCACUCAUAGCUCAACUGGAUAGAGCACAUGGCUACGAACCAUGAGGUUGUGGAUUCGAUUUCUUCUGAGUGCGCCA